Molecule: ribosomal RNA, 497 nt
Filed under: uncultured bacterium
Lineage: Bacteria
Description: partial 16S ribosomal RNA
Rfam family: Bacterial small subunit ribosomal RNA
Source: RNAcentral
GAUGAACGCUGGCGGCGUGCCUAAUACAUGCAAGUCGAGCGAACAGAUGAGGAGCUUGCUCCUCUGACGUUAGCGGCGGACGGGUGAGUAACACGUGGAUAACCUACCUAUAAGACUGGGAUAACUUCGGGAAACCGGAGCUAAUACCGGAUAAUAUAUUGAACCGCAUGGUUCAAUAGUGAAAGACGGUUUUGCUGUCACUUAUAGAUGGAUCCGCGCCGCAUUAGCUAGUUGGUAAGGUAACGGCUUACCAAGGCAACGAUGCGUAGCCGACCUGAGAGGGUGAUCGGCCACACUGGAACUGAGAAACGGUCCAGACUCCUACGGGAGGCAGCAGUAGGGAAUCUUCCGCAAUGGGCGAAAGCCUGAUGGAGCAACGCCGCGUGAGUGAUGAAGGUCUUCGGAUCGUAAAACUCUGUUAUUAGGGAAGAACAAAUGUGUAAGUAACUAUGCACGUCUUGACGGUACCUAAUCAGAAAGCCACGGCUAACUACGUG